GGAUGUGAGGGCGAUCUGGCUGCGACAUCUGUCACCCCAUUGAUCGCCAGGGUUGAUUUGGCUGAUCUGGCUGGCUAGGCAGGUGUCCCCUUCCUCCCUCACUGCUCCAUGUGCAUCCCUCCCGAAGCUGCACGCUCGGUCGAAGAGGAUGACCAUCCCCGAUAGAGGAGUACCGGUCUUCAGUCAAGGGUAUAUGAGUAGCUGCGCACCCCUGCUAGAACCUCCAGACAAGCUCUCAGAAAUGAACCUUUUAACAUGGAGCUCACCCAGUAGUGUACAUUUGGACACAGUUGGUAGUACCUUAGU
Unclassified non-coding RNA from Nomascus leucogenys (northern white-cheeked gibbon), 306 nucleotides. Its record names the gene 7SK. It matches the Rfam family "7SK RNA". Rfam says of the family: 7SK was discovered as an abundant small nuclear RNA in the mid-70s but a possible function has only recently been suggested. Two independent studies have found that 7SK RNA binds the CDK9/cyclin T complex (known as elongation factor P-TEFb). Lineage: Eukaryota; Metazoa; Chordata; Mammalia; Primates; Hylobatidae. The record is from Ensembl.